RNAcentral lists this ribosomal RNA (253 nucleotides) under uncultured bacterium. Its description in RNAcentral is "partial 16S ribosomal RNA". It matches the Rfam family "Bacterial small subunit ribosomal RNA", at positions 524 to 776 of the family's 1533-position model. The record is from RNAcentral.
UACGUAGGGUGCGAGCGUUGUCCGGAAUUAUUGGGCGUAAAGGGCUCGUAGGCGGUUUGUCGCGUCGGGAGUGAAAUCCACUGGCUUAACUGGUGGCUUGCUUUCGAUACGGGCAGACUAGAGUGCGGUAGGGGAGACUGGAAUUCCUGGUGUAGCGGUGAAAUGCGCAGAUAUCAGGAGGAACACCGGUGGCGAAGGCGGGUCUCUGGGCCGUAACUGACGCUGAGGAGCGAAAGCGUGGGGAGCGAACAGG